Small nuclear RNA from Callorhinus ursinus (northern fur seal), 107 nucleotides. The record is from RefSeq and is a predicted model, not a curated record. NCBI's taxonomy places the organism in Eukaryota, Metazoa, Chordata, Mammalia, Carnivora, Otariidae.
GUGCUUGCUUCAGCAGCACAUAUACUAAAAUUGGAACAAUACAGAGAAGAUUAACAUGGCCCCUGUGCAAGGAUGACAGGCAAAUUCAUGAAGCAUUCCAUAUUUUU